This 211-nucleotide ribosomal RNA is filed under the name uncultured bacterium. RNAcentral describes it as "partial 16S ribosomal RNA". It matches the Rfam family "Bacterial small subunit ribosomal RNA", at positions 143 to 353 of the family's 1533-position model. The record is from RNAcentral.
AUAGCCUUUCGAAAGAAAGAUUAAUACCCGAUGGCAUAAUAGAACCGCAUGGUUUGAUUAUUAAAGAAUUUCGGUUAUCGAUGGGGAUGCGUUCCAUUAGGCAGUUGGUGGGGUAACGGCCCACCAAACCUUCGAUGGAUAGGGGUUCUGAGAGGAAGGUCCCCCACAUUGGAACUGAGACACGGUCCAAACUCCUACGGGAGGCAGCAUG